GACGAACGCUGGCGGCGUGCUUAACACAUGCAAGUCGAACGGUGAAGGGGUCUGCUUUUGUGGGCCCUGGAUGAGUGGCGCACGGGUGAGUAACACGUGAGUAACCUGCCCCCUUCUUCUGGAUAACCGCAUGAAAGUGUGGCUAAUACGGGAUAUUCUGGGUCUGUCGCAUGAUGGGUCUGGGAAAGAUUGCGCCUUUGGGUGUUUUUGGUUGGAUUGGUUCGCGGCCUUUUGGCUUGUUGGGGGGGUUAUGGGCCUCCCAGGAGGUGGCGGGUAGCCGGUCUGGGGGGGUGGACGGUGACACUGGGACUGAGACACGGCCCAGACUCCUACGGGAGGCAGCAGUGGGGAAUAUUGCACAAUGGGCGCAAGCCUGAUGCAGCGACGCCGCGUGAGGGAUGGAGGCCUUCGGGUUGUAAACCUCUUUCGCCAGUGAAGCAGGCCUGCUCCUUGUGGGUGGGUUGACGGUAGCUGGAUAAGAAGCGCCGGCUAACUACGUG
This 500-nucleotide ribosomal RNA is filed under the name uncultured bacterium. RNAcentral's name for it is "partial 16S ribosomal RNA". It matches the Rfam family "Bacterial small subunit ribosomal RNA", at positions 28 to 507 of the family's 1533-position model. The record is from RNAcentral.